UACGGAGGAUCCAAGCGUUAUCCGGAUUCAUUGGGUUUAAAGGGUGCGUAGGCGGAAUAGUAAGUCAGUGGUGAAAGCCUGCAGCUUAACUGCAGAACUGCCAUUGAUACUGCUAAUCUUGAGUACAUUUGAUGUGGGCGGAAUGUGUCGUGUAGCGGUGAAAUGCUUAGAUAUGACACAGAACACCGAUUGCGAAGGCAGCUCACAAAACUGUAACUGACGCUGAGGCACGAAAGCGUGGGGAUCGAACAGG
This 253-nucleotide ribosomal RNA is filed under the name uncultured bacterium. RNAcentral describes it as "partial 16S ribosomal RNA". It matches the Rfam family "Bacterial small subunit ribosomal RNA", at positions 524 to 776 of the family's 1533-position model. The record is from RNAcentral.